GUUAAGGAACUAAGCAUAUUAUUUUGGAAGAUUUGCACAAAAAAUAAAUUAAAGAGUCAUUAAGAAUUGAAUUAAUG
RNAcentral lists this transfer RNA (77 nucleotides) under Lactococcus lactis. RNAcentral describes it as "tRNA-Met". The record is from RNAcentral. Lineage: Bacteria; Bacillati; Bacillota; Bacilli; Lactobacillales; Streptococcaceae.